GAUUAUGGCUCAGGAUGAACGCUGGCGGCGUGCCUAAUACAUGCAAGUCGAACGCAUUACGUUCGGUAGUGAGUGGCGAACGGGUGAGUAACACGUAGGUAACUACCUCUAAGACGAGGAUAACGACUGGAAACGGUCGCUAAAACUGGAUAGGAUCAUUUGAGGCAUCUCGAAUGAUUUAAAGGGGCUUUCAAGCCACACUUAGAGAAAGGCCUGCGGCGCAUUAGCUAGUUGGUGGGGUAGAGGCCUACCAAGGCGAUGAUGCGUAGCCGGACUGAGAGGUCGAACGGCCACAUUGGGACUGAGACACGGUCCAGACUCCUACGGGAGGCAGCAGCUAAGAAUCUUCCGCAAUGGGCGAAAGCCUGACGGAGCCGACGCCGCGUGAACGAAGAAGGCCGUGAGGUUGUAAAGUUCUUUUUGGGAGGGGAACAACCGUGGCAGGGAAUGGCCGCGGGAUGACGUGAAUCCCGGAAUAAGCCCCGGCUAACUACGUGCCAGCCGCCGC
RNAcentral lists this ribosomal RNA (508 nucleotides) under uncultured bacterium. Its description in RNAcentral is "bacterial SSU rRNA". It matches the Rfam family "Bacterial small subunit ribosomal RNA", at positions 15 to 518 of the family's 1533-position model. The record is from RNAcentral.